This is a long non-coding RNA of Bos taurus (domestic cattle), 450 nucleotides long. Lineage: Eukaryota; Metazoa; Chordata; Mammalia; Artiodactyla; Bovidae. The record is from Ensembl.
ACUCCAGUGUUCUUGCCUGAGAAUCCCAGGGACGGCGGACACGACUGAAGCGACUUAGCAGCAGCAGCAGGGGAGAAGCUGCACACCUGCAAAUUGUGCUUGCAAAAUCUGGCAUGAUCAGAGCCCUCAUUAUUCUACUACAAGCAGAUUCUCUUAAGGACUGUAGCCUGUCAGGCUUCUCUGUCCAUGGGAUUUCCCAGUCAAGCAUACUGAAGUGGGUUGCCAUUUCCUCCUUGAGGGGAUCUUUCCCGCCCAGGGAUUGAACCCAUUUCUCCUGCAUCUCCUGAAUUUCAGGCAGAUUCUUCAUCACUGAGCCACUGGAUGUUACUCUGGAUUCUAACACCUUGGGAGCCUGCAAUGAAUGUUAUGGAUUUUGUUUCCCAAAUUAAGGAGCGGACACCAAGGACAUCUUGUUCCAGACAUAAGGGCAGAAAUGAACCACCACAUCCA